GAUGAACGCUGGCGGCGUGCUUAACACAUGCAAGUCGAACGGUGAAGGCGGAGCUUGCUCUGCUGGAUCAGUGGCGAACGGGUGAGUAACACGUGAGCAAUCUGCCCCUGACUCUGGGAUAAGCGCUGGAAACGGCGUUUAAUACUGGAUACGAGCUGCGAAGGCAUCUUCAGCAGCUGGAAAGAACUUCGGUCAGGGAUGAGCUCGCGGCCUAUCAGCUUGUUGGUGAGGUAACGGCUCACCAAGGCGUCGACGGGUAGCCGGCCUGAGAGGGUGACCGGCCACACUGGGACUGAGACACGGCCCAGCCUCCAACGGGAGGCAGCGGUGGGGAAUAUUGCAAAAUGGGCGAAAGCCUGAUGCAGAAACGCCGCGUGAGGGACGACGGCCUUCGGGUUGUAAACCUCUUUUGGCAGGGAAGAAGCGAAAGUGACGGUACCUGCAGAAGAAGCGCCGGCUAACUACGUG
Molecule: ribosomal RNA, 468 nt
Filed under: uncultured bacterium
Lineage: Bacteria
Description: partial 16S ribosomal RNA
Rfam family: Bacterial small subunit ribosomal RNA
Source: RNAcentral